RNAcentral lists this long non-coding RNA (3385 nucleotides) under Marmota monax (woodchuck). Lineage: Eukaryota; Metazoa; Chordata; Mammalia; Rodentia; Sciuridae. The record is from RNAcentral.
GCUCAUUUUAUUUUUUCUUUUGAGACAGGGUCUUACUAUGUUGCCCAGGCUGUCCUUGAACCUUCGAUCCUCCUGUCUCAGCUUCCUGAGUAGCUGGGAUUGCACGUGCACACCACUGAGCCUGGUUAGUAUAAUGUAUUAAUAUUCAGAUAACUAUAUUUUACUAUAAGUGGUUUUAGUUAUUACUGAAUAUCUUGUCUUUGAUGUAUUUAAUAUUAUUAUUUUGUGGGGUCCACAGUCCUCACCAGAAUGUCAAAGAGGUCCCUGGUUAAAACAAACACAAAAGCAAAAAUGACAAAGAAACCCGAUAUUAAUCAUUAGCCAACAGAUUUCUGGGUGUUUCUCCUAAGGGCCUCCCACUGCAAGCUCUUUCUCUGCUGUUUUUCAUUACUCUUUCCUAACUCAAUUUAUUAUUUCUCCCUUAGUUCAUGUCUUUCAUUUAAGGUUUUCCCAUGAUCCUGAUCUCCCCCCUGCCCUGCCCCUCCACACAGAGUGGGCAGUUCUGUAGGGUAGAGACAAGUGACUAGGCCAUCACGGUGCAGUCUGCUGUGUGCUACGGACACUUAGGGGACACUUGGAGAAAUGCCUAAUCCAGUCUUGAGAGAUGGGACAGACUUGUCAUCAGAGGUGACCCCAGGCUGUCCUGGAGGGCCAUGUAGACUUAACUAGGCUUGGUGGUAGGAAGGGGGGUGUGGCUACCAAGGACUGGUCAGAGCGCAACGGUGGCCAGACUGUGGAAUGCUCUUCAAACCAAAUUAGGAGUAGCCACCAAAGGGUUUUGAGAGCUGUGUUUUACAAAGAUUGCCCUGGCUCAGAGUAAAGAUGGGUUGGAGGGAGGAGGUCUAGAGAUGAGGGACGAGAGGCUGACAGACUGCCCUUUGCUCAUUCAUUAAAAAAAAAAAAGUGUAUAUAUAUAUAUAUAUAUAUAUAUAUAUAUAUAUAUAUAUAUCUGUGUGUGUGUGUGUGUGUGUAUAAUUUUUUUUGGUAUUGGAGAUUGAACUCAGGGGCACUUAACCACUGGGCCACAUGCUGGGCACUCUGUGUGUGUGCCUGUGUGUGUGUGUGUUUGUGUGUGUGUGUUUUGAUUUUAUUUCGAGACAGGGUCUCACUGAGAUGCCUAUGGCCUCAGUAAGUUGCUGAGGCUGGCUUUGAACUCAUGAUCCUCCUGCCUCAGCCUCUUGAGCUGCUAGGAUUAUAGGAGUGGGCCACCGUGCUGGGCUCCUUAGCUCAUUCUUGAGUGUAUCACACGUGUCCAUCCUGUGCUCAUGCUUUCCUGCUGCCUAAGAUGCCCUUCCAGCACAUCCAAUGCUCCUGGACAGCUGGGGUCCAUCUCCUGGGCUUCAUCCUCUCUCCUGAGUUGCCUGACUUCACCACUGUGUUCCUGGAGGAAAUUUAGAGUUUUUUUCCCUUAAUGACUCUGGUUCUUAUCUCAUCCUUGAGUUUCGUGAGGGCAGAGACUGGGCUUUACUCAUAUUUAUAUCCCUGACACCUAACAUGUUGCUGGGUCCCUAGUAAAUCCCUUGAAAGGAGCCAGGCUAAGGGAUGGAAAGUGCAAGAAGGCUCUAGAAUUUGUCCAAAAAUAUGUAGCAAAGACAAUCUGAGAAACCCCUUAGAGCUGUCCACAGAGCCAUUCGAUCUCAGGAUAAGAAGGUCAUCAGUGGCCUUUUUAUUUCUUUUUUAAACAUAAUUCCCCCUCCUUUCUCUUUCUCAUUCCUUCCUUCUUCUUUUCUUUCUUUCUUUCUUGGGGAAACCUUUGAUUUUCGUGGAGAAGACGAAUUUCCCUCCAGGAUGAAACAGAAGAGACUAAGAAAAGGGGCUGAAUCUCAGCCAAGGUAAGCUACAGAUGAGAGGCAGAGCCCCAGGAAACCUGGCCCCUGGUGGCUUGCCCUUGCCCAGGGCUGGCUUUCCUUGGGGUGGGCGGCGGGGGGAGGGGGGGCAAUGGCAGCUCCCUCCCAGCCUCCACCCCCAAGCUGGUCAACACCCUUGAGGGCCUCCAUCAUUGUUGGAGGAGGGGUGGAUGUGGUGGGCCCUCAUCUGGGUCUCAGGUUCUAGGUGACACAGAAGGACAAUGAGGCACGGACUGUAUACUAUAGCUGUUUCCCAGGGAUCUCCAGGCUCAAAAUGGAGGAAAAAAAAAAAGUGAAAGGUUUAGGCUCCUUAUGCAGGUGGUAGCCAGAGAGCAGAGAACCCUGGGAUAGAAAAGAAUGUCAUUAUACAGGUGGCAUGAUAGACUUGCUGUGACCUCAGGUGAGGGGAGAGGGGCUACUAGAGGGCUGGAAGGGAUGACUGUACAUACAAGGGACUCUUACUGUCUACCACGGAGACGGCGGGUCACUUACCAGAAUCAGCCCUCUUUGCCUUCCUUCAGGACCAGGAAUAAGUGGUGGUGGUGUGAGAGCGUCAGCCACCGAGGAGGCGAAUGGAACAAUCCUUCUUCUCAGGGUCCCCAAAGGAAAACUGAGAUAACUCCCAAUGGCAAACUAGGCAAGCCCAGUUCGUGUGGAACCAGCCCUCCGGUGAAGACUCCUUGUCUUCUUGCCUUAGCGACACUUUGCUGGGAAGGCUCAGGACUCACUGGUUGGGCACCUCAUAAAGCAAGUUGUUGAACUCUCUGGGUUAGAAAAACUGAGGGGCAUGAUGUUCAACGACGUAUGAAAAAGAAGGGGGUCCCAGUGGCUCAGGAGGCUGAGGCAGGAGGAUUGCAAGUUCAGAGCCAGCCCCAGCAAUUUAGCAAGGCCCUAAGCAACUUAGUGAGACCCUGUCUCUAAAUAAAAAUAAAAAGGCUGAAUAUGUAGCUCAGUGGUUAUGCACCUUGGGUCUAAUCCUUAUGUGGGUGUGCACACAUAAAAAGGGGGGUAAAAUUUAAGAAAACUUUGGGCUGAGAUUUUGGCUCUGUGGUAGAGCACUUGCCUAGCAUGUGUGAAGCACUGGGUUCGAUUCUCAGCACCUCAUAGAAAUAAAUAAAAUAAAGGUCCAUUGACAACUAAAACAUAUUAAAAAAAGAAAGAAAGAAAAGAAAACCUUGGCUUAGCUGGGUACAGUGGCGCACACCUGCAAUCUUAGCAACUUGGGAGGUUGAGGCAGGAGGAUUGCAAAUCUGAGGCCAGCCUCAGCAACUUAGCAAGACCCUGUCUCAAAAUAAAAAAUAAGAAGGGCUGGGGACAUUACUAGUGACACAGUGCCUGCCAAGCGAGUCAUCCUUUUUUGGAAUUAGACUGGAUACCGUUGCCCUCCUUUCCUGGACUUCAUGGAUUUUCAGAAGAUCCUUGCUUUUUAUCAGUAUAGCUCUUAAGAACCUGGCUUCGCAAAGCUCUGGCAUCUUCGGAAGGAGUGGGGCACAGUCUACCGUCAGUGUGUGAGUUAGCGGCGUCGGGGGGGGGGGGGG